Ailuropoda melanoleuca (giant panda) is the source of this 109-nucleotide small nuclear RNA. NCBI's taxonomy places the organism in Eukaryota, Metazoa, Chordata, Mammalia, Carnivora, Ursidae. The record is from Ensembl.
UCAUGUCAGUGUUCGCUAGGAUGGUCUUGAAACUGGAAUGGUACAGAGAAGAUUAGAAUGGUCUCUGCACAAGGAUGACACCCAAAUUUGGGAGGGCAUUCAUGUUUUU